GGUAAAAUCGCUGAACAAAGGAUUAGACAGUAAAUCUAAAGAUAGAGGUUUGACUCCUUUUUUUACCU
This 68-nucleotide transfer RNA is filed under the name Bos indicus (zebu cattle). RNAcentral describes it as "tRNA-Tyr". It matches the Rfam family "tRNA". From Rfam's summary of the family: Transfer RNA (tRNA) molecules are approximately 80 nucleotides in length. Their secondary structure includes four short double-helical elements and three loops (D, anti-codon, and T loops). The record is from RNAcentral. Lineage: Eukaryota; Metazoa; Chordata; Mammalia; Artiodactyla; Bovidae.